Zonotrichia leucophrys gambelii is the source of this 1601-nucleotide long non-coding RNA. RefSeq lists it as uncharacterized. NCBI's taxonomy places the organism in Eukaryota, Metazoa, Chordata, Aves, Passeriformes, Passerellidae. The transcript is spliced from 2 exons. The record is from RefSeq and is a predicted model, not a curated record.
GGGGCGGCUCCAUCCACCGGGGGCGGCUCCAUCCACCGGGGGCGGCUCCAUCCACCGGGGGCGGCUCCAUCCUCCCGGGGCGGCUCCAUCCUCCAGGGUCGGUCCCCUCAGACCUGAGGGUGUUCCAGGCCUCUGCUCCAGCUCUGGAGCUCCUGACACUUGGGAAUUGUGGUGCUGCUUAUGUUGGUUUUUUCUUUAUUUUUAGGGUUUAUUCUUGUUUUGGUUUGGGGGUUUUUUUUGUUGUUUUGGAAAUUAAGAAAGAAGGUGAUGGGGUGUGGGAGGUGGUGUGGGAUGAGGGGCGGCUGGUGCUUCACCCCAUCCCUGGUUUCUCUCUGGGAUGGAGAAUCAGUGGGAUCAGGAAUGGAGAAACCCUGCCUGGGGUGGCCCAGAGCAGUGUCCCUGUCCUGGCUGGGGGCAGAGCAGGGAUUGCUGCUUGGUUUAAAUCUGCUUUAAACGGUUCUGAUGGAGCCUGGCUUGUCCUGAGCUGGAUGUUCAGGGGAGGGGCUGGAUCCAUGGGCAUGGCGAUGGGGAUGGGGAUGGCUCCCACUUUUCAGUGUCCAGGUGAGGGGAGAGGGUGCAUUUUGGAUUUUCCUUCCCUGGAGAGGUGGAGACAGAGCCCAGCUGUGCCCAGGGUUGGGAUCCCUCUCCUGACCCCAUCGGGGGCACAGGGAACCUUCCAGGCUGCAUUUUCCUCCCUCCAGGCUGCAUUUUCUCCCCUCCAGGCUGCAUUUUCCCCCCUCCAGCUGCCUCCAGCCCAUCCCAGGGCUGGCCUCAGCCAUUGUGGCCAUGGCAGAGCUCCAGGAUUCCCUGUCAGAGCCCCCUGGCCGGGGAUGAACCCACACAAUCCACGUUGUUGUCCCUGGAUUGUCCCUCCCUCCCAUCGAGGACCCUGCAGCCCCCCAGGCCCCUUCCCACCACGUGGAUUUUGGGGUGAAUUAUUCCUUUCCUCCCCCCCAUGUGGGUUUGGCUGCCCCUGAGCCCUCCCCCUGUGAGGAUUUGGGAAUUUUUUGGUGUUUUCCUUGUAUUUUUUUUGGCUGUUUUUCACUCAGUCAGGCUGGCAGCUGCCAUCCCCCUGCCUGCCCUGGGUCCCACCAUGGCAGCCCCCCCAAAAAUUGACUCCCAGGCCUGGGUACCCCCAAACCCCUCAUCCCUUUUGCUUUCCUGUUUUCCAGCCCAGGACAAAGGCACUGCCCUGCCUGGUGCCAACCCACAGGGCAGCCACAUCCCCAAAGGGAGAACACCCCAAUUUUUUGGGGGGAACACCCCAAUUUUGGGGGGAACACCCCAGAUUUGAGGGGUCUGUGCUUGCUGGCUCAGUUCAUGCCCAGCCAAGCCCCUCUGGAGCCGUGGGGUGCUCAAUGUGAUGGAUUUUGCCUCGUAUUUAAUAUGGGAAGGUUCCUCAAGUUUCGGGCUAUUUUCCAUCAGUUUUGGUGCUGGGUUUUGGAGAGGAAGAGGAGGAUGAUGAGGAGGAGGAGGAGAGCAUGGAUGGAGCAGUUUGGUGGUGCAAUUAAUUUUGGUUUUUUUUUUUUUAAAAACUCGAUAUUUUCAUCAUGGACGGGGAGGGAGGGGAAAUAAUAAAUAAACGGCACUUUACAUUUCCA